This 397-nucleotide ribosomal RNA is filed under the name uncultured bacterium. RNAcentral describes it as "bacterial SSU rRNA". It matches the Rfam family "Bacterial small subunit ribosomal RNA", at positions 357 to 770 of the family's 1533-position model. The record is from RNAcentral.
GGGAAUAUUGCGCAAUGGAGGAAACUCUGACGCAGUGACGCCGCGUAUAGGAAGAAGGUUUUCGGAUUGUAAACUAUUGUCGUUAGGGAAGAUAAAAGACUGUACCUAAGGAGGAAGCCCCGGCUAACUAUGUGCCAGCAGCCGCGGUAAUACAUAGGGGGCAAGCGUUAUCCGGAUUUACUGGGUGUAAAGGGCGUGUAGGCGGGGACGCAAGUCAGAUGUGAAAACCACGGGCUCAACCUGUGGCCUGCAUUUGAAACUGUGUUUCUUGAGUACUGGAGAGGCAGACGGAAUUCCUAGUGUAGCGGUGAAAUGCGUAGAUAUUAGGAGGAACACCAGUGGCGAAGGCGGUCUGCUGGACAGCAACUGACGCUGAGGCGCGAAAGCGUGGGGAGCA